RNAcentral lists this ribosomal RNA (253 nucleotides) under uncultured bacterium. RNAcentral's name for it is "partial 16S ribosomal RNA". It matches the Rfam family "Bacterial small subunit ribosomal RNA", at positions 524 to 776 of the family's 1533-position model. The record is from RNAcentral.
UACGUAGGGUCCGAGCGUUGUCCGGAAUUCCUGGGCGUAAAGAGCUCGUAGGUGGUUUGUCGCGUUGUUCGUGAAAACUCACAGCUCAACUGUGGGCGUGCGGGCGAUACGGGCAGACUAGAGUACUGCAGGGGAGACUGGAAUUCCUGGUGUAGCGGUGGAAUGCGCAGAUAUCAGGAGGAACACCGGUGGCGAAGGCGGGUCUCUGGGCAGUAACUGACGCUGAGGAGCGAAAGCGUGGGGAGCGAACAGG